Long non-coding RNA from Ailuropoda melanoleuca (giant panda), 352 nucleotides. RefSeq lists it as uncharacterized. The record is from RefSeq and is a predicted model, not a curated record. The transcript is spliced from 3 exons. NCBI's taxonomy places the organism in Eukaryota, Metazoa, Chordata, Mammalia, Carnivora, Ursidae.
UUGGCAAUGGCUGAUAAAGUUGUGUAAUAGAGUCUACUCUUCAUUGCAUGGAUAAUGUUGAUCCAAAUCCCAGGAAAGCCAAUCUUUUUUCAACAAAUCAUGAGAAAACUGCAAAUUCUUCCAUCUGGACUACAUGAGAAGAGCAUUGCCCAUUGCCUCGGUGCUUGAUCUUGAAAACCUACUGAAAACAAUGGUACUAUGCCUUCUCAAUAUUGGAAAUUUCAAUAACUGAAAAACAUACCUUUGUUGAAGAAUCCUUUGGGUUAAGAGGCGGAGUUAACACGAAGGAGCAUGAGACUUCCAGACUUUGAAAUCAAAUCAUUCAAGAAGUGACACCUCUCAGAAGGAAGGG